UUUUAAAUCUUGUUAGUUUAUUAUUAUAUAUAAAAUUAUAUUUGAAAAAUAAUUUAUUAAAUUAAUUAAUAGUAAUUUUUAUUGAAAGUAGGUUUAUAACUAUAGUGUAAAGUACUGUGAAGGAAAGGUUUAAAUAAAUUAAAAAAAGUAAAAGUAAAAGUUUAAUUUUGUACCUUGGGUAUCAGGGAUAAUUAAUAUAUUAUUAAUUAUUUAUUAAAUGUCUCGAAAUAAAAAUAGUUAAUUUUAUAAUAUAGUUUUUGUAGUAAAAAAAUUUUAAAUAUAAAAUUAGAAGUGAAAUGUUAAUCGAGUUUUGUAAUAUCUAGUUCUUUAAAAAAUAAAUUUAAUUUAGGCUUUAUAAUUAUAUAGUAUAAAGACAAAAAAUAGGAGGGAAAGCUUUUUAUUUUAAAAAUAGUUGAAUAAAAAAUAAUAAAUUAUCUAAGCUUAAAAGUAGCUAUGUUUAUAAAGUGUUUUAACUAAAGGUUUAGUUAAUAUUAUUUUUAUAAAUCUUUAAAAUUAUAUUAGAGAUUUUUUUUAAAUUUUAUAUAAUAAAAUAUAAUGAUUUUAUUAGUAGAAAUUCUAUUAAAAUAAUAAUUUAAAUAAUAGAGAAAGUAUAAUUAAAAUUAAAAUAAUAUAGAGGAAUUCGGCAAAAUUUUUCUUUGCCUGUUUAUCAAAAACAUGUUUAUUUGAAGGUAUAAAUAAUUUGGCCUGCCCCCUGAUUAUAAAUUUAAGGGCCGCAGUAUUAUAACUGUGCAAAGGUAGCAUAAUCAUUAGGUUUUUAAUUAGAAUCUGGUAUGAAUGGUCGGACAAAAGAAUAACUCUCUUUAUAUUAAAUUUUGAAUUUAACUUUUAAGUGAAAAGGCUUAAAUGAACUAAAGGGACGAUAAGACCCUAUAAAACUUUACAUUGUAAUUAAAUUUUAUUAAGUUUAAUAAAUAAAGAUUUGAUUUAAUUAUUUGUUAGGCUGGGGAGGUACAGAUAAAUAUUAUAUUAACUGUUUGAUAAUUAUACAAUUAUUAGUGGGCAUGUAAUAUGAUCCUUUAUAAAGAUUAAUAAAUUAAGUUACUUUAGGGAUAACAGCGUAAUUUCUUUUGAGAGUUCUUAUCGAAAAGGAAGAUUGCGACCUCGAUGUUGAAUUAAAAAUUCUAUAUAAUGAAGAUGUUAUAUAAGAAGGUCUGUUCGACCUUUAAAAUUUUACAUGAUUUGAGUUCAAACCGGCGUGAGCCAGGUUGGUUUCUAUCUUUUAGUAGGAGUAUAAUUAUUUUAGUACGAAAGGAGUAAGUAAUUGGAAUAAUUUUAAUAUGUUA
This 1304-nucleotide ribosomal RNA is filed under the name Qianguimon aflagellum. Its description in RNAcentral is "16S ribosomal RNA". The stretch from base 610 to 1304 matches the Rfam family "Archaeal large subunit ribosomal RNA", at positions 1423 to 2793 of the family's 2987-position model. The record is from RNAcentral. Lineage: Eukaryota; Metazoa; Arthropoda; Malacostraca; Decapoda; Potamidae.